RNAcentral lists this ribosomal RNA (1433 nucleotides) under Klebsiella variicola subsp. variicola. RNAcentral describes it as "bacterial SSU rRNA". It matches the Rfam family "Bacterial small subunit ribosomal RNA". The record is from RNAcentral. Lineage: Bacteria; Pseudomonadati; Pseudomonadota; Gammaproteobacteria; Enterobacterales; Enterobacteriaceae.
GGGCGGCAGCUACACAUGCAAGUCGAGCGGUAGCACAGAGAGCUUGCUCUCGGGUGACGAGCGGCGGACGGGUGAGUAAUGUCUGGGAAACUGCCUGAUGGAGGGGGAUAACUACUGGAAACGGUAGCUAAUACCGCAUAAUGUCGCAAGACCAAAGUGGGGGACCUUCGGGCCUCAUGCCAUCAGAUGUGCCCAGAUGGGAUUAGCUAGUAGGUGGGGUAACGGCUCACCUAGGCGACGAUCCCUAGCUGGUCUGAGAGGAUGACCAGCCACACUGGAACUGAGACACGGUCCAGACUCCUACGGGAGGCAGCAGUGGGGAAUAUUGCACAAUGGGCGCAAGCCUGAUGCAGCCAUGCCGCGUGUGUGAAGAAGGCCUUCGGGUUGUAAAGCACUUUCAGCGGGGAGGAAGGCGGUAAGGUUAAUAACCUUGUCGAUUGACGUUACCCGCAGAAGAAGCACCGGCUAACUCCGUGCCAGCAGCCGCGGUAAUACGGAGGGUGCAAGCGUUAAUCGGAAUUACUGGGCGUAAAGCGCACGCAGGCGGUCUGUCAAGUCGGAUGUGAAAUCCCCGGGCUCAACCUGGGAACUGCAUUCGAAACUGGCAGGCUAGAGUCUUGUAGAGGGGGGUAGAAUUCCAGGUGUAGCGGUGAAAUGCGUAGAGAUCUGGAGGAAUACCGGUGGCGAAGGCGGCCCCCUGGACAAAGACUGACGCUCAGGUGCGAAAGCGUGGGGAGCAAACAGGAUUAGAUACCCUGGUAGUCCACGCCGUAAACGAUGUCGAUUUGGAGGUUGUGCCCUUGAGGCGUGGCUUCCGGAGCUAACGCGUUAAAUCGACCGCCUGGGGAGUACGGCCGCAAGGUUAAAACUCAAAUGAAUUGACGGGGGCCCGCACAAGCGGUGGAGCAUGUGGUUUAAUUCGAUGCAACGCGAAGAACCUUACCUGGUCUUGACAUCACACAGAACUUACCAGAGAUGGAUUGGUGCCUUCGGGAACUGUGAGACAGGUGCUGCAUGGCUGUCGUCAGCUCGUGUUGUGAAAUGUUGGGUUAAGUCCCGCAACGAGCGCAACCCUUAUCCUUUGUUGCCAGCGGUUAGGCCGGGAACUCAAAGGAGACUGCCAGUGAUAAACUGGAGGAAGGUGGGGAUGACGUCAAGUCAUCAUGGCCCUUACGACCAGGGCUACACACGUGCUACAAUGGCAUAUACAAAGAGAAGCGACCUCGCGAGAGCAAGCGGACCUCAUAAAGUAUGUCGUAGUCCGGAUUGGAGUCUGCAACUCGACUCCAUGAAGUCGGAAUCGCUAGUAAUCGUAGAUCAGAAUGCUACGGUGAAUACGUUCCCGGGCCUUGUACACACCGCCCGUCACACCAUGGGAGUGGGUUGCAAAAGAAGUAGGUAGCUUAACCUUCGGAGGCGCUACCACUUGAUCA